AGGAAUAUUGUAUCCAAAAAAACUAUUGAAAGAAAAAGCAAUAGAAAGCAGUUUUUAAAGGUGAUUCAAGUUAGUUUUCUUCCUUUCUUUUCGCUGCUGUUCUUUUUAUUUUUUAUUUUUUAUUUUUGAUUGAUUGAUUGUAAAAAAAUAUAUAGAAAAAAGGGGCUUAGAACUCAUCCUUGGAUCGGUGCGCCGCCGAAUCCCU
This 205-nucleotide long non-coding RNA is filed under the name Gossypium raimondii (Peruvian cotton). RNAcentral describes it as "long non-coding RNA (GRAI_LNC010671)". The record is from RNAcentral. Lineage: Eukaryota; Viridiplantae; Streptophyta; Magnoliopsida; Malvales; Malvaceae.